AACGAACGCUGGCGGCAUGCCUAACACAUGCAAGUCGAACGAGACCUUCGGGUCUAGUGGCGCACGGGUGCGUAACGCGUGGGAACCUGCCCUUAGGUUCGGAAUAACUCCCCGAAAGGGGUGCUAAUACCGGAUAAUGUCUUCGGACCAAAGAUUUAUCGCCUUUGGAUGGGCCCGCGUUGGAUUAGCUAGUUGGUAGGGUAAAAGCCUACCAAGGCGACGAUCCAUAGCUGGUCUGAGAGGAUGAUCAGCCACACUGGGACUGAGACACGGCCCAGACUCCUACGCGAGGCAGCAGUGGGGAAUAUUGGACAAUGGGCGAAAGCCUGAUCCAGCUAUGCCUCGUGAGUGCUGAAGGCCUUAGGGUUGUAAAGCUCUUUUACCCGGGAUGAUAAUGACAGUACCGGGAGAAUAAGCUCCGGCUAACUCCGUG
Molecule: ribosomal RNA, 433 nt
Filed under: uncultured bacterium
Lineage: Bacteria
Description: partial 16S ribosomal RNA
Rfam family: Bacterial small subunit ribosomal RNA
Source: RNAcentral